AUGAACGCUGGCGGCGUGCCUAAUACAUGCAAGUCGAGCGAACAGACGAGGAGCUUGCUCCUCUGACGUUAGCGGCGGACGGGUGAGUAACACGUGGAUAACCUACCUAUAAGACUGGGAUAACUUCGGGAAACCGGAGCUAAUACCGGAUAAUAUAUUGAACCGCAUGGUUCAAUAGUGAAAGACGGUUUUGCUGUCACUUAUAGAUGGAUCCGCGCCGCAUUAGCUAGUUGGUAAGGUAACGGCUUACCAAGGCAACGAUGCGUAGCCGACCUGAGAGGGUGAUCGGCCACACUGGAACUGAGACACGGUCCAGACUCCUACGGGAGGCAGCAGUAGGGAAUCUUCCGCAUGGGCGAAAGCCUGACGGAGCAACGCCGCGUGAGUGAUGAAGGUCUUCGGAUCGUAAAACUCUGUUAUUAGGGAAGAACAAAUGUGUAAGUAACUAUGCACGUCUUGACGGUACCUAAUCAGAAAGCCACGGCUAACUACGUG
RNAcentral lists this ribosomal RNA (495 nucleotides) under uncultured bacterium. RNAcentral describes it as "partial 16S ribosomal RNA". It matches the Rfam family "Bacterial small subunit ribosomal RNA", at positions 29 to 507 of the family's 1533-position model. The record is from RNAcentral.